GACUCUCGGCAAUGGAUAUCUCAGCUCUCGCAUCGAUGAAGAAUGUAGCGAUAUGCGAUACUUGGUGUGAAUUGCAGAAUACCGUGAAGCAUCGAGUCUUUGAACGCAAGUUGCGCCCGAAGCCAUUAGGCUGAGGGCACGUCUGCCUGGGCGUCA
RNAcentral lists this ribosomal RNA (156 nucleotides) under Solanum tuberosum (potato). RNAcentral's name for it is "rRNA 5_8S_rRNA". It matches the Rfam family "5.8S ribosomal RNA". From Rfam's summary of the family: 5.8S ribosomal RNA (5.8S rRNA) is a component of the large subunit of the eukaryotic ribosome. It is transcribed by RNA polymerase I as part of the 45S precursor that also contains 18S and 28S rRNA. Functionally, it is thought that 5.8S rRNA may be involved in ribosome translocation. The record is from Rfam by way of RNAcentral. Lineage: Eukaryota; Viridiplantae; Streptophyta; Magnoliopsida; Solanales; Solanaceae.